AUUGAACGCUGGCGGCAGGCCUAACACAUGCAAGUCGAACGAGGGGCGGACGGGUGAGUAAUGUCUGGGAAACUGCCUGAUGGAGGGGGAUAACUAGUGGAAACGGUAGCUGAUACCGCAUACCAUGGGAUGUGCCUAGAUGGGAUUAGCUAGUAGGUGGGGUAACGGCUAACCUAGGCGCAGAUCCCUAGCUGGUCUGAGAGGAUGACCAGCCACACUGGUACUGAGACACGGUCCAGACUCCUACGGGAGGCAGCAGUGGUGAAUAUUGGACAAUGUGCGCAAGCCUGAUCCAGCCAUGCCGCGUUUAUGACGAAGGCCUUCGGGUUGUAAAGUGCUUUCAGCCGGGAGGCGUUACCCGCAGAAGAAGCACCGGCUAACUCCGUGCCAGCAGCCGCGGUAAUUC
RNAcentral lists this ribosomal RNA (406 nucleotides) under uncultured bacterium. RNAcentral describes it as "partial 16S ribosomal RNA". It matches the Rfam family "Bacterial small subunit ribosomal RNA", at positions 30 to 526 of the family's 1533-position model. The record is from RNAcentral.